AUUGAACGCUGGCGGAAGGCCUAACACAUGCAAGUCGAACGAGUGGCGGACGGGUGAGUAAUGGCUGGGAAACUGCCUGAUGGAGGGGGAUAACUACUGGAAACGGUAGCUAAUACCGAAUACCAUCCGAUAUGCCCAGAUGGGCUUAGCUAGUAGGUGUGGUAAAGGCUCACCUAGGCGACGAUCCCUAUCUGGUCUGAGAGGAUGAACGGCCACACUGGAACUGAGACACGGUCCAGACUCCUACGGGAGGCAGCAGUGGGGAAUAUUGCACAAUGGGCGCAAGCCUGAUGCAGCCAUGCCGCGUGUAUGAAGAAGGCCUUCGGGUUGUAAAGUACUUUCAGCGGGGAGGCGUUACCCGCAGAAGAAGCACCGGCUAACUCCGUGCCAGCAGCCGCGGUAAUUC
RNAcentral lists this ribosomal RNA (406 nucleotides) under uncultured bacterium. RNAcentral's name for it is "partial 16S ribosomal RNA". It matches the Rfam family "Bacterial small subunit ribosomal RNA", at positions 30 to 526 of the family's 1533-position model. The record is from RNAcentral.